RNAcentral lists this long non-coding RNA (1020 nucleotides) under Bos indicus x Bos taurus (hybrid cattle). Its description in RNAcentral is "lncRNA (ENSBIXG00000004253.1)". The record is from RNAcentral. Lineage: Eukaryota; Metazoa; Chordata; Mammalia; Artiodactyla; Bovidae.
CCCAGAGAUGACAGAGGGGAGAGCUCAGGCCUGCCUGAAGGCAGAUGUCUGGUCAGUCCCUGUGCUAACCUAAGUGCUGCUGACCUGGGGCAGCCAGCCAUCUGCAAAAUGAGACCAGAUGGCCCGGGAGAAUUCUGCCUGGGGUGGGGAGCUGACUUGCUCUCAGCAAGCACCACAGAGAAGACUGUGGUGUGUCCGGGUGGCCAGGCUGCCUGUCGUGGGUGCGGCCAUUUCUCCAGAAGAGACCUGGGGGCUUACAUGACCUGUUUUUCUCCCAGACAGCACUCUGCUUCUCUCUCACCCCUGACCAUACACGUCUCCUACGUCUCACUAAGUAAUGACCCCAGAGACAGUGCUGCUGCCUCUGUGUGCACACACACACACACACCACACAGACUCACACACACAAGGGCACAUGCACACAGGCACACACACAUACACACAUGCACACACAAGGGCACGUUCACACGCACACACACCAUACACACACAGGCACACACAUAUAUAUACAUGUACACACAAGGGGACAUACAUGCACACACAAGAGCACACACACGCGGGCACACACAUACAAGGGCACAUACAUGCACACCUAUACAAGGGCACACACACACAGGCACACACACACACACACAAGGGCACAUACAUGCACACCUACACACACAAGGGCACACAGGCACGCACACACGCACACAGGCACACCCCGGACAGACCUCCACCAGCACUUCCAUACCCUGGAUUCCAAGCCUGCCAGCCUCCUCCACCCGCUGGGCAAGUCACACACCCACCCCCACCCCUGCCCUCUGGCUGUGUGCUCUGCCUGGAGUGAGGAAAGUCUUGGAGCCAGACACUGAGAGCUUCCUGCUCUGGCCUCCCCACAGGUCAUUACUGCCCAUCAGGGACGCCCUCUCCUCAUCCCUGCCCAGAGGGGACCCUGAAUCCACGGGAAGGUGCUCUCUCCUCCAGGGCCUGCCAGCCCUGCCCUGCAGGGACGUACUGCCCUGGGGAGGGCAACGGGCA